GGCUUGGUAAGAACGGGACUUAACCCGCCUG
This 31-nucleotide transfer RNA is filed under the name Trachylepis damarana (Damara skink). RNAcentral describes it as "partial tRNA-Tyr". Lineage: Eukaryota; Metazoa; Chordata; Lepidosauria; Squamata; Scincidae. The record is from RNAcentral.